CCUACGUGAGGCAGCAGUGAGGAAUAUUGGUCAAUGGGCGCGAGCCUGAACCAGCCAAGUAGCGUGAAGGAUGACUGCCCUACGGGUUGUAAACUUCUUUUAUAAAGGAAUAAAGUGAGGCACGUGUGCCUUUUUGUAUGUACUUUAUGAAUAAGGAUCGGCUAACUCCGUGCCAGCAGCCGCGGUAAUACGGAGGAUCCGAGCGUUAUCCGGAUUUAUUGGGUUUAAAGGGAGCGUAGAUGGGUUGAUAAGUCAGUUGUGAAAGUUUGCGGCUCAACCGUAAAAUUGCAAUUGAUACUGGCAGUCUUGAGUACAGUUGAGGUAGGCGGAAUUCGUGGUGUAGCGGUGAAAUGCUUAGAUAUCACGAAGAACUCCGAUUGCGAAGGCAGCUUAAUAAACUGCCACUGACAUUGAUGCUCGAAAGUGUGGGUAUCAAACAGGAUUAGAUACCCUUGUAGUC
RNAcentral lists this ribosomal RNA (460 nucleotides) under uncultured bacterium. RNAcentral's name for it is "partial 16S ribosomal RNA". It matches the Rfam family "Bacterial small subunit ribosomal RNA", at positions 338 to 795 of the family's 1533-position model. The record is from RNAcentral.